RNAcentral lists this long non-coding RNA (950 nucleotides) under Mus pahari (shrew mouse). Its description in RNAcentral is "lncRNA (MGP_PahariEiJ_G0004358.1)". The record is from RNAcentral. Lineage: Eukaryota; Metazoa; Chordata; Mammalia; Rodentia; Muridae.
GACAGAAGAAGGCAUUGGAACCCCCUAGACUGGAGUUGCAGAUGGUUGUGAACCACCACGUGGGUGCUCGGAGNUGAGCCCAGGUCAUCUUGAAGAGCAGCCAUUGCACUUAACUGCUGAGUCAUCUUUUGGGUCCUGGGUGUUUAGGGACAGGAGAGAGCACAGAUGAAGACAAUUAAUUCCUAAAGGCUGUGAUGUCAUAGACCUUCUGAGUUUCCUGGAUUGUGACAUGUUCCUUUGUAUUAGUAUGUGCCUCACGACUUUCAUCGACGAUGGGAACCGGGGACAGAAAAUGGCGAGGCGGGACUGGACUUAGAUUGGGAAUGACGGAGGCCAUGUGGUGUCUCCAGAAGCAGAAUUCUUCCUUUAAUCAGGACAACUGAAGGGCUGCAGUCUGCACAGGGGUGGAGACUGUGCACUCGGGGUACAGGAGGCUUGCAGAGAUUUACAGGACUUUAAAGGAGACUUUGCUAACGGAAGAUACCAUCUACCCGUCAGUUCCUGAUGGUCUCAAAGCGGAAGGUCUCACUCAAAGACACACGUUGAUCCUUUUAUUGGAAGCAUUCCAGAUCGGAACAGUCCACAGGUGUUACCAUCGGUUUUCCUGUCCUGAGUUUCUCAGUCUACCUGAGGCUUUUAGGUUAUUAACCCUUCGGUGGGGACUGCAAAGCCACAGUUCUGAGAAUGGCCUUGCUGGCAGACAGCAACGCCAGAAUAGAGUCCUGGCUCCUGGCUUUCCUGCUAUCACCAAGCCUUGCCUGGAAGGUGCACACGAGGAUGCGACAGAUAGGCACCUGGGUACCCCCACACCCCACCACAGUUUCUUUCCAAGUCCUUCCAAAAGCUCCCAGAUUAGCAAUGCAAUGGUAUUCUACUUCCUGCCCUAUACAAGCUCAGCCCUUUCUCUCUUGCAAGCUUCCAUCUACCUAUACUAUAGUUCUGUCUAAAAC